AAAGGGAGACCUAAUUCAGGUAGGAGACGAAAAAAAAGUAGUCGCUACCAAGAAUCAAUCCCAAAAGGUCGGAGCGAGGCGAAAUUGGCUUUCAAACUAGGUUCUGGGUUCAAACAAGACCUGAAUCAGGAACAAGGGCUAUUAGCUCAGGUGGUUAGAGCGCACCCCUGAUAAGGGUGAGGUCCCCGGUUCGAGUCCAGGAUGGCCCACCUGCACAGGUGGCAAAAACAAGAGAAGCGAGGAAUCAGCACCUUAUCUUACUUAUAUAGUAAGAGAGAAUGCUGGCUCUGAGUAAAGAGUCCAGAGGAACCUUGAAAACUGCAUAGAGCUAGGUGAAAAAGCCAAAAAAGAAGACCGCAAG
This 361-nucleotide transfer RNA is filed under the name uncultured Microcystis sp. RNAcentral's name for it is "partial 16S-23S ribosomal RNA intergenic spacer". The stretch from base 136 to 209 matches the Rfam family "tRNA". Lineage: Bacteria; Bacillati; Cyanobacteriota; Cyanophyceae; Chroococcales; Microcystaceae. The record is from RNAcentral.